This 72-nucleotide transfer RNA is filed under the name Fukomys damarensis (Damara mole-rat). It matches the Rfam family "tRNA". From Rfam's summary of the family: Transfer RNA (tRNA) molecules are approximately 80 nucleotides in length. Lineage: Eukaryota; Metazoa; Chordata; Mammalia; Rodentia; Bathyergidae. The record is from Rfam by way of RNAcentral.
UGGGGUGAGGCUCAGCAGUAGAGCGCUUGCCUAGCAGGCACCAGGCCCUGGGUUCAAUUUCCAGCACCCUAU